AGUUCUAAAUUUUGUACCUUUCAAUCAAAUCAGUACAAUGAGCGUACAGAAGAACUGACAGAGGGGGCACUCUUUUGGAAUCACAGAAAAAUUAAUGGAAUGCCUCGGGCAUUAGUUGCCAGAUUCAGAAAGGCCACAGAGACAGCUGCAGCAGUUUCAAAUGAGAUUCACAGGCUUAAUGUCCCAGAAUCUGUUAUUGAGAAAUGGAGAUCAGAAUUACUGAUCAUUGCAAGAUCCUUAAAUA
Procambarus clarkii (red swamp crayfish) is the source of this 244-nucleotide non-coding RNA. The record is from RefSeq and is a predicted model, not a curated record. NCBI's taxonomy places the organism in Eukaryota, Metazoa, Arthropoda, Malacostraca, Decapoda, Cambaridae.